Molecule: ribosomal RNA, 1506 nt
Filed under: Lacticaseibacillus paracasei
Lineage: Bacteria; Bacillati; Bacillota; Bacilli; Lactobacillales; Lactobacillaceae
Description: bacterial SSU rRNA
Rfam family: Bacterial small subunit ribosomal RNA
Source: RNAcentral
CGCAGGCGUGCCUAAUACAUGCAAGUCGAACGAGUUCUCGUUGAUGAUCGGUGCUUGCACCGAGAUUCAACAUGGAACGAGUGGCGGACGGGUGAGUAACACGUGGGUAACCUGCCCUUAAGUGGGGGAUAACAUUUGGAAACAGAUGCUAAUACCGCAUAGAUCCAAGAACCGCAUGGUUCUUGGCUGAAAGAUGGCGUAAGCUAUCGCUUUUGGAUGGACCCGCGGCGUAUUAGCUAGUUGGUGAGGUAAUGGCUCACCAAGGCGAUGAUACGUAGCCGAACUGAGAGGUUGAUCGGCCACAUUGGGACUGAGACACGGCCCAAACUCCUACGGGAGGCAGCAGUAGGGAAUCUUCCACAAUGGACGCAAGUCUGAUGGAGCAACGCCGCGUGAGUGAAGAAGGCUUUCGGGUCGUAAAACUCUGUUGUUGGAGAAGAAUGGUCGGCAGAGUAACUGUUGUCGGCGUGACGGUAUCCAACCAGAAAGCCACGGCUAACUACGUGCCAGCAGCCGCGGUAAUACGUAGGUGGCAAGCGUUAUCCGGAUUUAUUGGGCGUAAAGCGAGCGCAGGCGGUUUUUUAAGUCUGAUGUGAAAGCCCUCGGCUUAACCGAGGAAGCGCAUCGGAAACUGGGAAACUUGAGUGCAGAAGAGGACAGUGGAACUCCAUGUGUAGCGGUGAAAUGCGUAGAUAUAUGGAAGAACACCAGUGGCGAAGGCGGCUGUCUGGUCUGUAACUGACGCUGAGGCUCGAAAGCAUGGGUAGCGAACAGGAUUAGAUACCCUGGUAGUCCAUGCCGUAAACGAUGAAUGCUAGGUGUUGGAGGGUUUCCGCCCUUCAGUGCCGCAGCUAACGCAUUAAGCAUUCCGCCUGGGGAGUACGACCGCAAGGUUGAAACUCAAAGGAAUUGACGGGGGCCCGCACAAGCGGUGGAGCAUGUGGUUUAAUUCGAAGCAACGCGAAGAACCUUACCAGGUCUUGACAUCUUUUGAUCACCUGAGAGAUCAGGUUUCCCCUUCGGGGGCAAAAUGACAGGUGGUGCAUGGUUGUCGUCAGCUCGUGUCGUGAGAUGUUGGGUUAAGUCCCGCAACGAGCGCAACCCUUAUGACUAGUUGCCAGCAUUUAGUUGGGCACUCUAGUAAGACUGCCGGUGACAAACCGGAGGAAGGUGGGGAUGACGUCAAAUCAUCAUGCCCCUUAUGACCUGGGCUACACACGUGCUACAAUGGAUGGUACAACGAGUUGCGAGACCGCGAGGUCAAGCUAAUCUCUUAAAGCCAUUCUCAGUUCGGACUGUAGGCUGCAACUCGCCUACACGAAGUCGGAAUCGCUAGUAAUCGCGGAUCAGCACGCCGCGGUGAAUACGUUCCCGGGCCUUGUACACACCGCCCGUCACACCAUGAGAGUUUGUAACACCCGAAGCCGGUGGCGUAACCCUUUUAGGGAGCGAGCCGUCUAAGGUGGGACAAAUGAUUAGGGUGAAGUCGUAACAAGUGCAUUGGCC